Molecule: ribosomal RNA, 498 nt
Filed under: uncultured bacterium
Lineage: Bacteria
Description: partial 16S ribosomal RNA
Rfam family: Bacterial small subunit ribosomal RNA
Source: RNAcentral
GAUGAACGCUGGCGGCGUGCCUAAUACAUGCAAGUCGAGCGAACAGAUAAGGAGCUUGCUCCUUUGACGUUAGCGGCGGACGGGUGAGUAACACGUGGGUAACCUACCUAUAAGACUGGAAUAACUCCGGGAAACCGGGGCUAAUGCAGGAUAACAUGUUGAACCGCAUGGUUCUACAGUGAAAGGCGGCUUUGCUGUCACUUAUAGAUGGACCCGCGCCGUAUUAGCUAGUUGGUGAGGUAACGGCUCACCAAGGCAACGAUACGUAGCCGACCUGAGAGGGGGAUCGGCCACACUGGAACUGAGACACGGUCCAGACUCCUACGGGAGGCAGCAGUAGGGAAUCUUCCGCAAUGGGCGAAAGCCUGACGGAGCAACGCCGGGUGAGUGAUGAAGGUCUUCGGAUCGUAAAACUCUGUUAUUAGGGAAGAAAAAAUGCGUAAGUAACUGUGCGCGUCUUGACGGUACCUAAUCAGAAAGCCACGGCUAACUACGUGC